AUGGUUUGCCACUGCCAACAUUGCUGCCGGCUUCUUCAUCUACAUUUAUGUAAUCACACCAAUCGCCUACUGGAUUAAUCUCUACAAGGCACAAAACUUCCCUAUCUUUUCAGAUGGCCUUUUCACAGUGACUGGACAGAAGUACAACAUCUCUACCAUUAUAGACUCACAGUUUCAUUUUGAUACAAAAGCCUAUGAGAAGAAUGGACCAUUAUACAUCAGCACCUUCUUUUCUAUCAGCUAUGGUCUUGGUUUUGCAUGUCUUACUGCAACAGUUGUCCACGUUCUUCUUUUCCAUGGAAGGUAUCCUCCCCUUCCUUCUCCCUCUAGGUCUAUUAUGUAAAAUUAGAUACACAGAUAAAUUUGUGACACCUGUGUCCAGUGAAAUUUGGCAGCUAAGCAGAUCAGCUUUUCAAGAUAAAAAGAUGGACAUACAUACAAAGCUUAUGAAGAGGUACAAACAGGUUCCUGAAUGGUGGUUCAUCUCCAUCCUUAUAGCCAGUGUUGCAAUCACCAUGUUCACUUGUGAGUAUUACAUAGAACAAUUGCAGUUACCCUGGUGGGGGGUACUACUUGCAUGUGCCCUUGCAAUUUUCUUCACC
Molecule: long non-coding RNA, 602 nt
Filed under: Oryza sativa (Asian cultivated rice)
Lineage: Eukaryota; Viridiplantae; Streptophyta; Magnoliopsida; Poales; Poaceae
Description: long non-coding RNA (OSAT_LNC001074)
Source: RNAcentral